GGAUCUGAUGGAACAAACUGCCCUCAGACACCACUGAGAUCGUGACACAGGCCAGUGCACUUCAGGAAAUUCAAACUGACAGGAGCCCCUGCCUUCUGCUGUUGCAAAAGUGGCUUGCUGUAGCAAGACGCCAGCUCAGAGCCACGGGCUGGCUGCAACUAAAAGUUCUUGACCCUCCCUCCGGAGAAGGGAGUGCCUGGGGGGCUGAAAGCUUUGGCGGGGUUGAGAUAAACACUCAGGUUAAGGCAUUUUUCAUCUGUUUAACCAGAUCUCGUUAUAUUGUCAAACAAGACUGCAGCGCUCACAAGAAACAGCUAUGGUAUUCUUGUCGAGAGGUGGGAUGAGAAGGAAGAAUUUAUUUUUUCCACUAAGGUUAAUUCCUCCGAUGCUGGGAGGCCAGGCAAAGUUUUUACUGGGAUGGAAAUGAAGGCUGAAGAGGUGAGCUCUUGGAGUCAUUGAAGGGAAGCCUGAUGGCACUUCAUAUGGCCCUGCCUUGCCAGGUGGGGAGGAAAGAGAACGUUAGUAAUAAUCUUGCCUACAUCCUAGGCAGAGAACUUCCCCCUUUUCAGGGCACCCACGUAAGUCAUCCCUAAUUGCAUAUUCCCUUGCUAUGUCGACUCUCCUUCGCUGACUCCAGGAAAAUGCCACCUUGCCUUUUAUUGCCUUUUUUUUUUAAAUAACUUCUCUUACCUUUUCCAGGUUGAGUUGAAUGUAACCAUUGCUUGGUCCUGAUGAUGCUCAAGUUAACUACAUGACCAUGCUACCCAGCCAUGAGUCCAGAUUAUACAGACCUAGUGAUGACCCAUGUGAAAAUACUUACAGUUAGUCCUAAACCAUGGUCUCACUGAAACAGACCAUCUGCAUUUUAGAAAAUCCAAAGCAAAUGUCUGCUUAUAUUCAUUGCUUUGGAGCACGGAAUGUAAUGUAUCGUCUGUCUGUACCGCAAUUCAUCCAUUCACCCACUGAAGGGUAUCUUCAUUGCUUCCCCAAACAUCCCCUUGGUUGCUACUCUAAACAUCUGGGCAGGUUGUUUUCAACUCCUUUGGGUAAACACCAAAGAGCACAAUCGCUGGACUGCAUGGUAAGUGUAUAUUUGGUUUUGUAAGAAACUGCCCAGCUGUCUUCCAAAGUGGCUGUACCAUUUUGCAUUCCCUUUAGCAAUGAAUGAGAGUUCCUGUUUCCUCACAUCCUUGUCAGCAUUUGGUUUUGUCAGUGUUUUGGAUUUGGGCCAUUCUAAUAGGUCUGCUGUGGUAUCACUUUUUUAAAAUUUGCAUUUCCCUGAUGACUUAAGAAGUAGAGCAUCUCUUCCCGUGUUUAUUUGUCAUCUGUACGUCUUCCUUGCUGAGUUGUCUGUUAAGAUGACCCACUUUUAAAAGUUUCCUCAUUUUGAGUUUUAAGAAUUACUUGCGUGUGUGUAUAUAUAUGUAGAUAGAUAGUUAGAUAGAUAGAUAACAGUCCUUUAUCAGACGUGUCUUUUGCAAAUGUUUUCUCCCAGUGUGGGGCUUGUCUUCACAUUCUCUUGAUUCUGUCUUUCACAUAACAGAAGAUUUUAAUUUUAGUGAAGCCCAGCUUAUCAAUGCUUUCCUUCAUGCAUUGUGCCCUUGUGUUGUACCUAAAAAGUCAUCACCACACCCAAGAUCAUCUAGGUUUUUUCCUGUGUUAUCCUCUAGAAGUUCAUAGUUUUGCAUCUAAGUCCAUGAUCCAUUGUGAGCUAAGUUUGGUGAGGGGUGCAAAGUCUGUGUCCAGACCCCCUGUUUUUGCAUGUGGAUGUCCCUUGUUCUAGCACCACUAUUGAAAAGGCUGUUUCUGUUUCAUUGUAUUCCCUUUGUGACUUUGCCAAAGUUGAGUUCGCUAUACUUACGUGGGUCUAUUUCUGGGCUCUCUAUUCUGUCCCACUGAUAAUUUAUCUGUUCUUUUCCCAAUACCACACUGUUUCAAUUACCACAGUUUUUAUAGUAAGUCUUGAAAUUGGGUAGUGUCAGUCCUCCAACUUUGUCCUUCUCCUUCCAUAUUGUGUUGGCCAUUCUGGGUCUUUUGGCUCUCCAUAGAAACCUUAGAAUCAGGUUGUUGAUAUCCAUAAAAUAACCUGCUGAGCUUUUGAUUGA
This 2105-nucleotide long non-coding RNA is filed under the name Felis catus (domestic cat). RNAcentral describes it as "lncRNA (ENSFCAG00000052644.1)". The record is from RNAcentral. Lineage: Eukaryota; Metazoa; Chordata; Mammalia; Carnivora; Felidae.